CUGGAAGCAGCCUCUCUAUACCUACGGGGUAGAGGUAAGGCUGUCUACAUCUACCCUCCUCACAUCCUACCUUAGCUUUGCUAUUGGUGGGUUUACUGAGUAUGAUGAUGAUGGUUUUAAUUUUUGUUAUUGAUAAAAGUGUUUCAUGGUUACUAAAUUAACAAUGUCUAGUGCAUAAUAAAUUUGUCUACUGUUAAAUUUGAAGUAUGAGUAAGUUUAAAGUGAAAUUGCUGAGAUGAAUGAGGCUCUGGCUAGAGAGAUCUUGGUUUCAUCUGAGAGAGUUGCUGAUCUCUUGCCAUUUGAUCAACUGAUUGAAUAUGAGCCCUUGAUUUCAGUCGGUAUGCAUUUGAUACAUGCAACCAUGAUUGCAGCCAUGGCAGAUUUUGACAAUAAAUACCGAUGAUAACAUAUCUGAGCCUCAAAACCUUUAUCCUUGGAGAUAUCAGAUAAGAACUGUAUAAGAACAUCUAUCUACUUAGAGGUGCACAUUUCGGGUUUUUUUUUUUCCCAAACUGGCUCAGGUGAAAGUGUUUCAGUUUGGGUCAACAAUGGUCAUAACUGGUAUUUGGUAAAACCAGUUUACAGGUGGAAAAGGAUCGGUUCGGUUUAAAACUAGUUCUGGUUAUCAAUUGGUUUCAAAGGAGGAGUUCUCAAACCAGUGGUCGUUUUGAAACGGGUACCAGUUUCGCCAAACCGGUUCCAUAAUCUGAUUCGGGUCGGGUUGGGCCAAAAUUGUUUCCAAUUCACAAACCGGUUUUUUUGUUCACCUCUACAUUUAUAAUAGCCGCCUUAAAAUAUGAGAUGAGGUGUUAUAUUGUGAUAUUCUCAUGUGAUAGACAAGAGUAACUUCGCUCAACUUUAUAUCAGAACACCCCUACUUCAACAUACAUUAUCAGGAAAACAACAAUUAUAAGAGGAGAUGAUGAUGAUGAUGAUGAUGAUGAAUUCCUCGUUGUUGCCCCCAAAAUUAUCAGGGUUGGGUGUUGCCCCCAAAAUUCAACACCCUUCUUUUUUCUAUGUUCUCUUUUACAUUUCCUUUUACCGAGUACGGUACAAUACAAUACAUCGUCACUGCUUCAAUCUUGAUAUUAGUAGUAGUAGCACCGGGUGCAACAUACUCGUAACUUUAUAUCAGAACACCCCUACUUCAACAUACAUUAUCAGGAAAACAACAAUUAUAAGAGGCGAUGAUGAUGAUGAUGAUGAUGAAUUCCUCGUUGUUGUAUGAGUGAAUCGAACAAAGCUUGAGACUUACCGUAUCUUGGCGGGGUAAUAUCCGUCUGUUGAAGCAGCCGCGAUGUUUGCAGCCAUGGCGGUUGUUUCCUCUUUGUUUUGAUUGUUAACAAAUCUGAGCCUCUUCUAAUUCUUCUCUUUCAUAUUUUCGUUUUUAUUUUUAUCAAGGGUUUUGACUUUUGAUAAAACUGUUUCCGGUUUACCAAUUAACAAUAUCUAGUGCAUAAGUUGAAAGUGAAUUUGCUCAUAUGAAUGAGGCUCCGACGAGAGAGAUCUAAAGCAGCUGUCGUCCUCUUGUCUAUCAGUCUAUCUCCCCUGUUCGCUCCUCCAUCUUCUAAACCUAAAAAACAGCCGACAGAUCUUCUUUCAUUCGCAGGGAAGGUGAGGUUCAAUCAGCAGGUAAGCUUCGAUUCAGCAACUUCGAUUAGCCCCCAUUUCUUCUCUGUUACAUUUGAAUUGUUUUUUCGGAACGUGGUCGUCGGAAACGCGAUCCCGGAUCGUGUUCGUACUGCGAAUUGGAUCGGACGAACCAAAACGAAAAUCGUGCCAUGACUAUCCGUUUUUUUACUGCAUUAACUGCAUAGUUAUGUUGAUGCUGCUGCUACUGUUGUUGUUUCAUUUGAAAAGGCUAUGACGAUGGAUAUUAUUUUGAGCAAAAUCGGAAUUUACAGCUCUGAUCCGUAUCUUGGCUAGGCAACUUGGUCGGUAUGUAUUUGAUACAUGCUACUGUGAUUGCAGCCAUGGCGGGUUUCGACAGUAAAUUCCAAUGAUAACAUAUUUGAGCCUCAGAACCUUUAUCGUUGGAGAUACAACUCUGUAUAAGAACAUUUAUCUACCUAGAGGUGCACAUUUCGUUUUUUUAAUCCCAUACCGGUUCAGGCUGAAAUGGUUUCGGUUUGGGUCAACAAUGGUCAAAACUGGUGUUUGGUAAAACUAGUUUACAAGUGGAAAAGGAUCAGUUCGGUUUAAAACUAGUUCUAGCUAUUAAUUGGUUUCAAGGGAGAACGGGGACCAGUUUCACCAAACCUGUAUCAUAUUCGGUUUCGGGUCAGGUCAAAACUGGUUCCAGUUCACAAACCGGUUUUCUGUUCACCUCUGUAUUUAUAAUAACCAUCUUGAAAAAUGAGAUGAGGUGUUAUGUUGUGUUGUGUUAUUCUCAUGUGAAUUGAGACUCGGGUGAGAAUGAGAUUGAGGAGGUUUCUGAGAGUAUCUUGCCAUUUGAUGAUGGUGAUGGUGGAGGUUGUGGUAGUAGCAGUAUUUUGUAAACUUGUUUAAAGGCUGUGAUGAUCAGUGUAUUCAGAGGGGACAUCGAAGAUCCGAUUUGUAUCUUGGUGGGGCAAGAUCCAGAUGGCAUAGUGAAGAAGAAUUUGACAUUCUCUUACCAUGCAACUGUGUAUCUGCAGCCACGGUGUAACACGUUUCUUCUUUGUCCCCAUCUCCCAAUUACAGAUCUGAGCCUAUUCAUUUACCUCUUUACAAGUGGAAAAGGCUCGGUUCGGUUUAAAACUAGUUCUGGCUCUUAACCGGUUUCAAGGGAGUAGUUCUCAAACUGAUAAGUGGAAAAGGAUCGGUUUCGGUUCGGGUCAAAAACCGGGUUUUUUUGUUGACCUCGACAUGUACCUAUAACCGCCUUAAAUGAUGAGAUGAGGUGUUAUGCUCUCAAUUGAAUUGAGGCUCAGGUGAGAGUGAGGAGGUUUCUUAGAGUAACUUCCCUCUUGCCAUUUCGACUGGCAGCGUUUUCUGAGGAUGAUUAUGUUGCUGUUGUUGUUCCAUUUAAAAAAGGCUAUGACGAUGGAAAUUAUAUUGAGUAAAAUCGGAAUUUACAUAUCGGAUCCGUAUCUUCGCUAGGCAACUCUGUUGGUAUGUAUUUGUUUUCAGAGAGAAUGAACUCUGUUGGAAUUUACAUAUCGGACUGUGAUUACGGCCAUGGCAGAUUUCGACAACAAAUUCCGAUGAUAACAUAUCUGAGCCUCAAAACUCUAUUUCAAAUGUCCCUCAAUAUCUGAAGAUUUUCGUGUUGAACAUAGAACCAAACAAGUAAACAAACGAGGGUGGGGUGAGGUGAGGUUUGAGAACAAAUCUUUCUUUAUCACAUGAGAUAAGCAUUGUACAUGUACAUCUUCCUUGAGGUGCACGUUUCGGGUAUUUUUUUUCCAAACCGCUUCGGUUUGGGUCAACAACAGUCAAAACUGUCCCUUGGAGAAACCCUUUAAUAGGUGGAAAAGGAUUGUUUCGGUUUGAAACUGGUUCUGGCUCGGCUCUAACCAGCUCCAAACCACUUUCAUAAUUGUUAUAUUGUGUUUUGAAUUUUGAUCAAGCAAAUGAGGAUUUUGUCUGUCUCAGUUUGCUGCUUUUAAUUGUGUGAAAAGUAGGAGGCUGUGAUGAUAUAAUGUAGUGAGCAAAAGCGGAGUUUGUGGAUCUAAUCUGUAUCUUGGCUGGGCAAUAUUUUAGAGGUGCACAAACCGUUUUUUUUUUUUUUUUUUUUUUUUUUUUUUAAACUAGAGUGGGUUUAAAAACCGGUUCUUAUUUGGUCAACAAAAUUGAAAUCGGAUUAAACCCGAAAUAGUUGUAGUCUUGUAGAUGGCAAUUGUUGUUGUAUGUGGAGGUUGAUAUUCCAUUGCAACAUAUCUGAGCCUUUGUUCCACAACAGACACAAAUUUAUAUUCGAUCAUGUAGAGGAUAGGUAAUUGGUUUUUGCAAUGAAUAACUUUUUGAAUUAUGUUCGUGCAAAGUUUGAUUAUCAUACUAAUUGUAUGCGUAAGUUUACUACAGUUUUUUCUAACUGGUGCAAGCAUGGGUCUGUUUAAAUGUUUCAUGGUCUGACUGUUGCAGCUCGGCUUCGGCAAUUUUUUUAACUACAAUAUGGUGUUUGCAUUCUGUAUUAGUUUCUUGCUUUUUAUUUUGUUUUGCUUCAGCUCCCUGUCGUAGUUUUUUUUUUUUUUUUUUUUUUGCCUUGGUUUUGAAUAUUUUUGGUGAAAAGGACAAGUGUGUAUGGUUCGUUGACCAAGGGAGAGGUUUCUCAACAAGAUCCUUGAGGCUGCUAAUUGAGAACAAAAUUUGUUCGCAUUACAAUUCAUAUGGAACAAAUUAAACAUGUUUGGGGGCGGUAUUAAACAUGCUUCCAACAAACGUAUUGUUAGUAAAUUAGGGUAGGAUUAUCUCUUCUACACUAUGUCCUUUUUGUGGAGUUGCCCCCGAAGAGGUCGAUCACCUUUUUUAUCAAUUGUGGACUGGUGAGUGAUUUGUGGCGACAGGUUUUAUUGUGGUGCAAAAUUCCCAUAUUCUGCGCAGCCUUGGCAAGGGAGUGGGUCGAUUACCAUCUUUCAUAUGAAAUCACAUUGGAAGCUUCUUCGAAUCUUCAAGCAGUUUUUUUCUUACAGUCCUGUGGUGCAUUUGGGGAGCAAGGAAUGACCAAGUUUUUAAUAAUGAGAACUCUAUGAAGAUAUUAGAAGAGGCUGAAACUAUGUCUUCUCUUUAUGGAUCAAAUACAGGGCAAAUUUAUUCUCAUUAGGUUGGGCUUGCUACUUUGCUUAAUGUGUAAUUGUGUACUCUUUUCAAGUUUCUAGCUUCUGGCUAGAACCUGUUCGUCAUCUAUCGACUUAUCAGUACUUUCUGGUACAAUUGGGCGGCGAGGAAGGCGAUAGUUGAAGCGUCGAGACGUGUGUCGGUGACAGAGAAGCUUGAUCUAACGACUUUCAGGUGACGAAGAGAAAAAGGUGUUCGGAUUCCUUUGUUGUUUGCAGUUUUUGUUUAAUCUGUUUUGUGUUUGAGUUGAUUAAUUUUGUGUUUUAGGGUUAUUAAUUAAUUUCAAAUCAGUUCAUUAGUUUUGUGUUUCACAAGAUGUCUUGACACCAACACUGAGAAAGUAGGCAGAGAAUGACUUUUCUUUGUAAUGAGGUGCAUAUUCAAAUUUAGAUGAAUGUGGUUUGGAUAAAUUUUGUUUAUAUGGUGA
This is a long non-coding RNA of Helianthus annuus (common sunflower), 5185 nucleotides long. RefSeq lists it as uncharacterized. The record is from RefSeq and is a predicted model, not a curated record. NCBI's taxonomy places the organism in Eukaryota, Viridiplantae, Streptophyta, Magnoliopsida, Asterales, Asteraceae. The transcript has 2 exons.